UUAAGUGACUAAGCGUACACGGUGGAUGCCUAGGCAGUCAGAGGCGAUGAAGGGCGUGCUAAUCUGCGAAAAGCGUCGGUAAGGUGAUAUGAACCGUUAUAACCGGCGAUACCCGAAUGGGGAAACCCAGUGCAAUUCGUUGCACUAUCGUUAAGUGAAUACAUAGCUUAACGAGGCGAACCGGGGGAACUGAAACAUCUAAGUACCCCGAGGAAAAGAAAUCAACCGAGAUUCCCCCAGUAGCGGCGAGCGAACGGGGAGGAGCCCAGAACCUGAAUCAGUUCUUGUGUUAGUGGAAGCGUCUGGAAAGUCGCGCAGUAAAGGGUGAUAGCCCCGUACACUAAAAUGCAUUNUAGUUGCAAGGUAUAGACCCGAAACCCGGUGAUCUAGCCAUGGGCAGGUUGAAGGUUGGGUAACACUAACUGGAGGACCGAACCGACUAAUGUUGAAAAAUUAGCGGAUGACUUGUGGCUGGGGGUGAAAGGCCAAUCAAACCGGGAGAUAGCUGGUUCUCCCCGAAAGCUAUUUAGGUAGCGCCUCGUGAACUCAUCUUCGGGGGUAGAGCACUGUUUCGGCUAGGGGGCCAUCCCGGCUUACCAAACCGAUGCAAACUCCGAAUACCGAAGAAUGUUAUCACGGGAGACACACGGCGGGUGCUAACGUCCGUCGUGAAGAGGGAAACAACCCAGACCGCCAGCUAAGGUCCCAAAGUCAUGGUUAAGUGGGAAACGAUGUGGGAAGGCAUAGACAGCCAGGAUGUUGGCUUAGAAGCAGCCAUCAUUUAAAGAAAGCGUAAUAGCUCACUGGUCGAGUCGGCCUGCGCGGAAGAUGUAACGGGGCUAAACCAUGCACCGAAGCUGCGGCAGCGACGCUUAGGCGUUGUUGGGUAGGGGAGCGUUCUGUAAGCCGUUGAAGGUGGCCUGUGAGGGUUGCUGGAGGUAUCAGAAGUGCGAAUGCUGACAUAAGUAACGAUAAAGCGGGUGAAAAGCCCGCUCGCCGGAAGACCAAGGGUUCCUGUCCAACGUUAAUCGGGGCAGGGUGAGUCGACCCCUAAGGCGAGGCCGAAAGGCGUAGUCGAUGGGAAACAGGUUAAUAUUCCUGUACUCGGUGUUACUGCGAAGGGGGGACGGAGAAGGCUAGGCUAGCCGGGCGACGGUUGUCCCGGUUUAAGCGUGUAGGGGGAGUGACCCGGUAAAUCCGGUUGCUUAUNACGGUGCAGAAGUAGUUGAUGCCAAGCUUCCAGGAAAAGCCUCUAAGCAUCAGGUAACACAGAAUCGUACCCCAAACCGACACAGGUGGUCAGGUAGAGAAUACCAAGGCGCUUGAGAGAACUCGGGUGAAGGAACUAGGCAAAAUGGUGCCGUAACUUCGGGAGAAGGCACGCUGGCGCGUAGGUGAAGUCCCUUGCGGAUGGAGCUGAAGCCAGUCGCAGAUACCAGCUGGCUGCAACUGUUUAAUAAAAACACAGCACUGUGCAAACACGAAAGUGGACGUAUACGGUGUGACGCCUGCCCGGUGCUGGAAGGUUAAUUGAUGGGGUCAGCCGCAAGGCGAAGCUCUUGAUCGAAGCCCCAGUAAACGGCGGCCGUAACUAUAACGGUCCUAAGGUAGCGAAAUUCCUUGUCGGGUAAGUUCCGACCUGCACGAAUGGCGUAAUGAUGGCCAGGCUGUCUCCACCCGAGACUCAGUGAAAUUGAACUCGCUGUGAAGAUGCAGUGUACCCGCGGCAAGACGGAAAGACCCCGUGAACCUUUACUAUAGCUUGACACUGAACAUUGAGCCUUGAUGUGUAGGAUAGGUGGGAGGCUUUGAAGCGUGGACGCCAGUCUGCGUGGAGCCAACCUUGAAAUACCACCCUUUAAUGUUUGAUGUUCUAACUCGGCCCCGUAAUCCGGGGUGAGGACAGUGUCUGGUGGGUAGUUUGACUGGGGCGGUCUCCUCCCAAAGAGUAACGGAGGAGCACGAAGGUUAGCUAAUCACGGUCGGACAUCGUGAGGUUAGUGCAAAGGCAUAAGCUAGCUUGACUGCGAGAGUGACGGCUCGAGCAGGUACGAAAGUAGGUCUUAGUGAUCCGGUGGUUCUGAAUGGAAGGGCCAUCGCUCAACGGAUAAAAGGUACUCCGGGGAUAACAGGCUGAUACCGCCCAAGAGUUCAUAUCGACGGCGGUGUUUGGCACCUCGAUGUCGGCUCAUCACAUCCUGGGGCUGAAGUAGGUCCCAAGGGUAUGGCUGUUCGCCAUUUAAAGUGGUACGCGAGCUGGGUUUAGAACGUCGUGAGACAGUUCGGUCCCUAUCUGCCGUGGGCGUUGGAAGAUUGAGAGGGGUUGCUCCUAGUACGAGAGGACCGGAGUGAACGCACCACUGGUGUUCGGGUUGUCAUGCCAAUGGCACUGCCCGGUAGCUAAGUGCGGAAAAGAUAAGCGCUGAAAGCAUCUAAGCGCGAAACUUGCCUCGAGAUGAGUCUUCCCUGGGCCUUUAAGGCCCCUGAAGGAACGUUUAAGACUAAGACGUUGAUAGGCUGGGUGUGUAAGUGCAGCGAUGCAUUGAGCUAACCAGUACUAAUGAUCCGUGAGGCUUAACCUU
Molecule: ribosomal RNA, 2582 nt
Filed under: Serratia entomophila
Lineage: Bacteria; Pseudomonadati; Pseudomonadota; Gammaproteobacteria; Enterobacterales; Yersiniaceae
Description: 23S ribosomal RNA
Rfam family: Bacterial large subunit ribosomal RNA
Source: RNAcentral